This 461-nucleotide unclassified non-coding RNA is filed under the name Hevea brasiliensis (rubber tree). The record is from RNAcentral. Lineage: Eukaryota; Viridiplantae; Streptophyta; Magnoliopsida; Malpighiales; Euphorbiaceae.
UGCGUGGCUUAGCAAUGAACGCAGGUUCCUGCAAACAGUGAUGGCUUUGUGAGCACCAGAAGUAAAAGAAAAUCCAGGCAAAGAUUCAGAUGGAUCCAUCCGCAUGCACUCAAGGAACUUGUGAAGGAAAAGAUUCCUUUCCUGCUCUUCACAAAUGUUGGGGACAAAACAAUGAAGGUUGGCAAUUACUUUGACAAAUAAUGAAGUUCUCUGAUGAGCAUAGGCAGCUUGGGGCAUGUUGCUGGGAAUUAAAAUAAUUUCUAUACCUAUAGCAUUUGAUAGGUUCAAUGAUGAAAAUGUGUCCAAAACCCAUCCAGCUGCUGUAAAUAAAUCAUAAUCCAGAGUAGCAUCUUCCUCCCUUGGUGGAAGUUCAGAGGAACACCAAAUGGAUAAAAAUUCUCCAUGAGGCAGUGAAAAUAUGGCAGUCAGAACCUUGGUAAAGUAUGUCGUAAUGUAAGAUC